GGAAACUCUGCCUGCAAACUUAACAACAAAAAACAAAGUUCAUGUUGCACAUUUUCAAAACCUUAAACUUUACACAAAGUUGGUGGCAUAUUUCUGAAAACCUUAAGCUUAAAACACUUUAAUAAAAAGCAGAAAGCAAGAUCUAACAAGUGCGGUAGGCAUAUUAGAUAAGGAAAAAAUGAAAAAGUGGACUAUCCAAGAAAUGUAAAUGAUAGACACAAGACACAAUUUCAUUGGUAAACAAACCUCAAAUAUAAAACAACUCAAUGAGGUACAUGCCUAGAAAAGAAUGUCCUAACAUUUGCUAUAUAGAUCCUGAAUCAGCAUGUGCAAAACUUAUGCAUAAUUUCAAGAGGGAAAUAGGCAAUUUCCUAAGCACUCCAUAUGAGAAUUCCUUUAUCCAAGCAUUACCUCAUGCUAAAAUAACAUUGCAAAACUCAUUACCUCGCGCUAAAAUAACAUUGCAAAACUCAUUACCUCGCGCUAAAAUAACAUUGCAAAACUCAGAAUUUAAGUGAUGUAGAACACAAAGAACACUC
This 539-nucleotide unclassified non-coding RNA is filed under the name Hevea brasiliensis (rubber tree). The record is from RNAcentral. Lineage: Eukaryota; Viridiplantae; Streptophyta; Magnoliopsida; Malpighiales; Euphorbiaceae.